UUGACGCGCAUGAAUGGAUUAACGAGAUUCCCACUGUCCCUAUCUACUAUCUAGCGAAACCACAGCCAAGGGAACGGGCUUGGAAUAAUCAGCGGGGAAAGAAGACCCUGUUGAGCUUGACUCUAGUCUUGACUCUGUGAUGAGACAUAAGAGGUGUAGCAUAAGUGGGAGCCUUCGGGCGACAAUGAAAUACCACUACUUUUAUCGUUUCUUUACUUAAUCAGUUAGGCGGAGGGCGGCCUCUCCUUUGUUUGGGAGGCCUUCCUUCAGGCGUUGUAACUGGGCGUCGUUCGUCGGGCAGCGGAGGAAACUUUUGUUGUUUCGGCGGGCGAAAUUAACGCCCAGGAUCUGCUGUGAUGACAGUGUCAGGCGGGGAGUUUGCACUGGGGCGGUACAUCUGUAAAAUAGUAACGCAGGUGUCCUAAGGUGAAAUCAGCGAGGACGGCAACCUCGUGUAGAACAAAAGGGCAAAAGCUCACAAGAUUUUGAUUUGACCAAUCCGCCCUUGGCCGGAUGUCAAAGUCCUCCAUCUAAUGCCCAUCCUAGCCGCUGCCGGCCACCGCGCGCUCUCUCCCGUCGUGCGGAGCAAACGUGACGCCCAAGGCUCCGUCU
This 612-nucleotide ribosomal RNA is filed under the name Parallorchestes ochotensis. Its description in RNAcentral is "eukaryotic LSU rRNA". It matches the Rfam family "Eukaryotic large subunit ribosomal RNA", at positions 2306 to 2741 of the family's 3401-position model. The record is from RNAcentral. Lineage: Eukaryota; Metazoa; Arthropoda; Malacostraca; Amphipoda; Hyalidae.